Molecule: ribosomal RNA, 497 nt
Filed under: uncultured bacterium
Lineage: Bacteria
Description: partial 16S ribosomal RNA
Rfam family: Bacterial small subunit ribosomal RNA
Source: RNAcentral
GAUGAACGCUGGCGGCGUGCCUAAUACAUGCAAGUCGAGCGAACAGACCAGGACCUUGCUCCUCUGACGUUAGCGGCGGAAGGGACAGUAACACGUGGAUAACCUAACUAUAAGACUGGGAUAACUUCGGGAAACCAGAGCUAAUACCGUAUAAUUUAUUGAACCUCGUGGUUCAAUAGUUAAAGACGGUUUUGCUGUCACUUAUAGCUAGCUCCGAGCCGCAUGCGCAAGUUGGUAACGUAACGGCUUACCAAGGCAGCGAUGCGUAGCCGACCUGAGAGGGUGAAGCGCCACACUGGGACUGAGACACGGUCCAGAAUCCUAGGGGAGGCAGAGGCAGGGAAUCUUCCGCGAUGGGCGAAAGCUUGACGGAGGAACGCCGCGUGAAUGAUGAAGGUCCGCGGACCGGAUAACUAUGUUAGUAGUGAAGAACAAAUGUGUAAGUAACGAUGCACUUCGUGACGGUACCUGAACAAAAAGCCACGGCUAACUACGUG